Molecule: ribosomal RNA, 253 nt
Filed under: uncultured bacterium
Lineage: Bacteria
Description: partial 16S ribosomal RNA
Rfam family: Bacterial small subunit ribosomal RNA
Source: RNAcentral
UACGUAGGGCGCAAGCGUUGUUCGGAAUCACUGGGCGUAAAGCGCACGUAGGCGGAUCUUUAAGUCAGGGGUGAAAUCCUGGAGCUCAACUCCAGAACUGCCUUUGAUACUGAAGAUCUUGAGUUCGGGAGAGGUGAGUGGAACUGCGAGUGUAGAGGUGAAAUUCGUAGAUAUUCGCAAGAACACCAGUGGCGAAGGCGGCUCACUGGCCCGAUACUGACGCUGAGGCACGAAAGCGUGGGGAGCAAACAGG